AUUGAACGCUGGCGGCAUGCCUUACACAUGCAAGUCGAACGGCAGCAUGAUCUAGCUUGCUAGAUUGAUGGCGAGUGGCGCACGGGUGAGUAAUACAUCGGAACGUGCCCUGUAGUGGGGGAUAACUAGUCGAAAGAUUAGCUAGUACCGCAUACGACCUGAGGGUGAAAGUGGGGGACCGCAAGGCCUCAUGCUAUAGGAGCGGCCGAUGUCUGAUUAGCUAGUUGGUGAGGUAAAGGCUCACCAAGGCGACGAUCAGUAGCUGGUCUGAGAGGACGAUCAGCCACACUGGGACUGAGACACGGCCCAGACUCCUACGGGAGGCAGCAGUGGGGAAUUUUGGACAAUGGGCGAAAGCCUGAUCCAGCAAUGCCGCGUGUGUGAAGAAGGCCUUCGGGUUGUAAAGCACUUUUGUCCGGAAAGAAAUGGCUCUGGUUAAUACCUGGGGUCGAUGACGGUACCGGAAGAAUAAGGACCGGCUAACUACGUG
Molecule: ribosomal RNA, 490 nt
Filed under: uncultured bacterium
Lineage: Bacteria
Description: partial 16S ribosomal RNA
Rfam family: Bacterial small subunit ribosomal RNA
Source: RNAcentral